This 926-nucleotide ribosomal RNA is filed under the name Geastrum pseudolimbatum. RNAcentral describes it as "eukaryotic LSU rRNA". It matches the Rfam family "Eukaryotic large subunit ribosomal RNA", at positions 37 to 940 of the family's 3401-position model. Lineage: Eukaryota; Fungi; Basidiomycota; Agaricomycetes; Geastrales; Geastraceae. The record is from RNAcentral.
AGCAUAUCAAUAAGCGGAGGAAAAGAAACUAACAAGGAUUCCCCUAGUAACGGCGAGUGAAGAGGGAAAAGCUCAAAUUUGAAAUCUGGCGGCCUACGGUCGUCCGAGUUGUAAUGUAGAGAAGUGUUUUCCGCGCUGGACCGUGUACAAGUCCUUUGGAAUAAGGCAUCAUAGAGGGUGAGAAUCCCGUCUACGACACGGACUGCCAGUGCUUUGUGAUACACUCUCAACGAGUCGAGUUGUUUGGGAAUGCAGCUCAAAAUGGGUGGUAAAUUCCAUCUAAAGCUAAAUACAGGCGAAAGACCGAUAGCGAACAAGUACCGUGAGGGAAAGAUGAAAAGCACUUUGGAAAGAGAGUUAAACAGUACGUGAAAUUGUUGAAAGGGAAACGCUUGAAGUCAGUCGCGUCUUCAGAAAUUCAGCCUGGCGUGCCUGGCGUACUUUUCUGUUGGACGGGCCAGCAUCAGUUUCGGCCGCCAGAAAAAGGUGAGAGGAAGGUGGCACCCUGCGGGGUGUGUUAUAGCCUCUGAUCGUAUGUGGCGGCUUGGGACUGAGGAACUUGCAGCACGCCAUUUCAUGGCCGGGGUUCGCCCACGUAACGUGCUUAGGAUGCUGGCGUAAUGGCUUUAAACGACCCGUCUUGAAACACGGACCAAGGAGUCUAACAUGCCUGCGAGUAUUUGGGUGGCAAACCCAUAUGCGGAAUGAAAGUGAAYGGUUGGGACUUCUGUCAUGGAAGGCACCGACGCCCGGACCCAGACCUAUUGUGACGGAUCCGAGGCAGAGCAUGUAUGUUGGGACCCGAAAGAUGGUGAACUAUGCCUGAGUAGGGUGAAGCCAGAGGAAACUCUGGUGGAGGCUCGUAGCGAUUCUGACGUGCAAAUCGAUCGUCGAACUUGGGUAUAGGGGCGAAAGACUAAUCGAAC